Molecule: long non-coding RNA, 323 nt
Organism: Stegodyphus dumicola
Lineage: Eukaryota; Metazoa; Arthropoda; Arachnida; Araneae; Eresidae
Source: RefSeq, a predicted model, not a curated record
UGUAGUGAAGACUACCACUCUCUUUGCCACCGUCCCUAAAGACAUGGAUGACAUGACCUGCAGGACUAAUCUUUGUGGCCGAGGCGGCUUGGACGAGGAGAUCCAUCAUCGGAGUCCUACACAGAAAACUAAGUUGUGGAAUAAACAAACCUAACAGAUAUUUUUUUCUGUAGAAGUACCAGUUAUUUGGGAACUGACUUAUAAUUAAUUUUGUCAAGGCUUGCUAACUUGAAACGGAGAGAGAACUUCUUAUCAAUGAAGAGCUACUGAUAACAUGAUACUGAAGUUAUUGACAACUUUUUCCAAAUAUCUGUGAAGUUCCG